Molecule: ribosomal RNA, 440 nt
Filed under: uncultured bacterium
Lineage: Bacteria
Description: partial 16S ribosomal RNA
Rfam family: Bacterial small subunit ribosomal RNA
Source: RNAcentral
CCUACGGGAGGCAGCAGUGGGGAAUAUUGCACAAUGGGGGAAACCCUGAUGCAGCGACGCCGCGUAAAGGAUGAAGUAUUUCGGUAUGUAAACUUCUAUCAGCAGGGAAGAAAAUGACGGUACCUGACUAAGAAGCCCCGGCUAACUACGUGCCAGCAGCCGCGGUAAUACGUAGGGGGCAAUCGUUAUCCGGAUUUAAUGGGUGUAAAGGGGACGUAGACGGUAUGGCAAGUCUGAUGUGAAACCCCGUGGCUCAACCCCGGGACUGCAUUUGAAACUGCCGAACUGGAGUGUCGGAGAGGCAAGUGGAAGUCCGAGUGUAGCGGUGAAAUGCGUAGAUAUUAGGAGGAACACCAGUGGCGAAGGCGGCUUGCUGGACGAUGACUGACGUUGAGGCUCGAAAGCGUGGGGAGCAAACAGGAUUAGAGACCCUUGUAGUC